GACAGAGGGUGCAAACGUUGUUCGGAAUUACUGGGCGUAAAGCGCGUGUAGGCUGCUUCGCAAGUCGGAUGUGAAAGCCCUGGGCUCAACCCAGGAAGUGCAUUCGAAACUGCAGAGCUGGAGUCCUGGAGAGGAAGGCGGAAUUCUCGGUGUAGAGGUGAAAUUCGUAGAUAUCGGGAGGAACACCGGUGGCGAAGGCGGCGACCUGGACAGUAACUGACGCUGAGACGCGAAAGCGUGGGUAGCAAACAGG
This 253-nucleotide ribosomal RNA is filed under the name uncultured bacterium. Its description in RNAcentral is "partial 16S ribosomal RNA". It matches the Rfam family "Bacterial small subunit ribosomal RNA", at positions 524 to 776 of the family's 1533-position model. The record is from RNAcentral.